RNAcentral lists this ribosomal RNA (441 nucleotides) under uncultured bacterium. RNAcentral describes it as "bacterial SSU rRNA". It matches the Rfam family "Bacterial small subunit ribosomal RNA", at positions 30 to 466 of the family's 1533-position model. The record is from RNAcentral.
AUUGAACGCUGGCGGCAUGCCUUACACAUGCAAGUCGAACGGUAACGGGCCUUCGGGUGCCGACGAGUGGCGAACGGGUGAGUAAUGCAUCGGAACGUACCUUUCAGUGGGGGAUAACGUAGCGAAAGUUACGCUAAUACCGCAUAUUCUGUGAGCAGGAAAGCAGGGGAUCGCAAGACCUUGCGCUGAUUGAGCGGCCGAUGUCAGAUUAGCUAGUUGGUGAGGUAAAGGCUCACCAAGGCGACGAUCUGUAGCGGGUCUGAGAGGAUGAUCCGCCACACUGGAACUGAGACACGGUCCAGACUCCUACGGGAGGCAGCAGUGGGGAAUUUUGGACAAUGGGGGGCAACCCUGAUCCAGCCAUGCCGCGUGAGUGAAGAAGGCCUUCGGGUUGUUAAAGGACUCUUUCGGUCCGGGAACGGAAAUACGCAUGGGUUAAGU